UUGUCUCUGCAUUCUAACUGUCCCCACGAAAUAAAAGUUCUAUAAACCGUCUUUUUCGUCUUCUUUUUUAUAUUAACUGACAACAAUCUCUCUUGUCUUCAUCCGUUAAUCCUUUUUGAAAGAUGUACUGCAAAACAAAGGAAUUAAGAUUAUAAAUCUUAAUGAAUAUACGUAAAUACACAUGCCCAAACAAAGCGGUCGGGUGGGUGGGGACCCAUACCUUACUUAAGUUUGAUCAUAAAAUCUUAAUUUCAUUGCGUGCACUUCGUGCACUUAUAAAAUUUUCAAUUUUAUUUCUCAAACUUAAGUAAGGUUUAAAAAUGUAUGUUCAAAGUUGUUUAAUUAUUUAUGUAUA
RNAcentral lists this long non-coding RNA (355 nucleotides) under Mytilus galloprovincialis (Mediterranean mussel). Lineage: Eukaryota; Metazoa; Mollusca; Bivalvia; Mytilida; Mytilidae. The record is from RNAcentral.